GCCUGGGUGGCUCAGUCGGUUGGGCGUCCGACUUGGGCUCGGGUCAUGAUCUCGUGGUUUGUGAGUUCGAGCCCCACGUCGGGCU
RNAcentral lists this transfer RNA (85 nucleotides) under Felis catus (domestic cat). It matches the Rfam family "tRNA". From Rfam's summary of the family: Transfer RNA (tRNA) molecules are approximately 80 nucleotides in length. Their secondary structure includes four short double-helical elements and three loops (D, anti-codon, and T loops). Lineage: Eukaryota; Metazoa; Chordata; Mammalia; Carnivora; Felidae. RNAcentral also lists the same sequence under 2 other names. The record is from Rfam by way of RNAcentral.